This is a non-coding RNA of Monodelphis domestica (gray short-tailed opossum), 7612 nucleotides long. The record is from RefSeq and is a predicted model, not a curated record. NCBI's taxonomy places the organism in Eukaryota, Metazoa, Chordata, Mammalia, Didelphimorphia, Didelphidae.
AGCUUUCAUUUCCAUGUGCUGAUCAUUUCUCUAAAAUAGCAAUCACAUUGUGGCAUAGUUGAGAGGGUCCUGGAUUUGGAGUCAUGAAGAUUUAGGUUUGAAUCUAUCUUCGGUUCCUAAAAAACCCAAAACAUUUAUGGUCCUGGAGAAAGGAAAGAUUUUCAAGAAACCAAAGAGACUGGGGUGCCUCAGACCUCAUUGGAAUGAAGGGAAAAGAGCAUGACAGAUUCUGUCUUGGCUCACAUCCAACCUUUGAAAGUGCGGUUCAGAAAACUUGCCGGGCUGCACAUAACCCACAUUCCUCAGGUAAUGUAAUUCUGGACCCAAAUAGAUUCCAGAAGUCUGAUCUCCCAAGAUGGGGCCCUCAUCCUGGGCUGUCUCUAAGCUCUCAGGCUCUGGCCCACCCCUUUCCUCUCCCUCCCACUUUCUCCAUCCCUCCAGGCGGAAAGGGUUAAGCAGUCAAUUAUAGAGCUUACUGAGUCUAGGGAACAGCUUCCUGAGACCCAGGUUGCAGAGAUCUGAACCAGUUGACGCACCCUGUGAUUGGAGAAUUUGUUUCAUGUUCUGGAUAAAGUCCGAGAAUUUACCCUCCAAAAUUCCUUGGAUUUAGUAACAUGUCAAUGCAUUGUGUUAAUGCAAGUUUUUUUUUUUUAAAGGUUAAAAGCCGCCUUCCUUUUUAAGUAUGAGUAAUCCAUCCAAAUCCUCCUGAAGGGAACAAAAGGGGUGCCGGUAAUUUUCUCUUUCACAAAAUGCAGAGACUUCCUCUCUGCGCUCUCAAAGUACUAUUCUAUGAACUGAAGGGAAAUUACACUCCUCACCAUUGAAAAAGAGAUUAUGCAAAAUGGGAAGGUAAAGCCAGCAGCCAUAAUAUCAAUACAAAUACCGGCUUAAUGUGCUGCUUACAAGGGGACAAGCUUGCCCAUUCCAGAUGUGCAUACUUGCAUCUGUAUGUUUAUUAAUUCUUUCAAAAAUUAUUUCUAUUAUCUAUGAUGUCGGAAGAACUAAAGCUUCCUUAGGAAGAUCAAAGUAAAACAAAAUAUGACUUCAGGUAUGUUUGAGGUAAUAGAAGGAGUUCAGAUUUGUGGCACAGUUUAGAUUCUCCCCAGUGUACAUGGGGGAACACUUACUUUGUACCACCCUGUGAGGUAGCCAGUGAAAGUUUUAUUUCCUCUAUUUUUCUGAAAAGAAGAUUCAAAUGCCUCGAGGUUAAGUAAUUUGUCUAAGGUCACAACUAUGAAGUACUAACUAAGACUGAAAUCCAAAGUCUUCUAACUUAUGUCCAGGGAAUUUUUCAAUAUUGCAGCAUUGGUGAACCUUUUAGAGACUGCAUGCCCAAACUGCACCUUCAAGCUACCUGGGUCCCCCACCCCUGCCACAAUACCCCACAGAGUGGAGGGAAGAAGUGCUCACAUUGGUCUGCUGAACAGAGGAGUGGAACAUGCAAAAAAUGUCCUCAGCUACUUCUGUGGCAUAUGUGCUACAUCUUUGCCAACAGAACCCUAUGAUGUCAAUCUUGUUGGUUUCUUCCAUUGAUUAUCCUUGAUUAUGAGAAGCCUCCAUUUAAAGACCUGUCCAAGGAUUGUCUUUCUGAUAUUUAGAUAAGUUGGUAAAUAGAGCAUUGGGACUGGAGCCAGGAAGAUGCAAGUUCAAAUUCCACUGGAAACAUUUCCUUGCUGUGUGAUCUUGGGUAAGUUAUUUAACACUGUUAGUUUCAUUUUCUUGUAUAAAAAUGAGUACAAGGGGCAGCUGGGUGGCUCAAUGGACUGAGAGCCAGUCCUAGAGAUGGGAGGUCCUCGCUUCAAAUCUGGCCUCAGACAUUUCCUAGCCAGGUGACCCUGAGCAAGUUACUCAACCCCCUAUGCCUAGCCCUUACUGCUCUUCUGCCUUGGAACAAAUACAUAGUAUUGAUUUAAAGACAGAAGGUAAGGGUUAAAAAAAAGGAGUACAAUAUUUCAAUAGUAGUACUUGUAUUUUAUUUUAUGAAUUUAAAAGCAUUAUUAUGGGAAGGGGGUUUAUUGGCUUUAUCAGAAAACCAAAGGAAUCUGUGAAACCAGCAAAGUGAAGAAUCAUUCUGCUAGGUCUUUUGACAUUUCUUAAAUACGAACAGAACACUUAAGAGGUUCAUCUUUUAUCUCUGACUCUUAUCACCCUGAUUGGUCCUUCCUUUUUUGGACAUUUCUUCACUGAUGCCCCUUAUGCUACUCUAUCCACCUAAGUUAUGAUUGGAAAUAUGUUGCGCUUUACUUGUACCCACCAUAUAUCCAUUAUCCAUUGACAUAGUUGGAACUUUAAUGCCUCAGAGACCACAGCCUUCAAAGAUCCCUAGCCAUCUAAUAUCAGUGAUAGGCCAUUCAUGUGGGUAAAGAAAAGUCUUUAUUCUAGAGGUCCAGUUGAGAUCAGUUAUAGGAUUCUGCAGUUUUCCAAAUACAAUCCAACCAGCUCUUCUUCUCCUAUUGAUUUCUAGGUCCAAUUUAUUGUCCAUCUUCAAUGCUUGUCCCAGAUGUAUGGAUUGUUACUCCAAUCUGUUUUCAAUAAUCGUGGAUCCCAUUGGGAAGGCCAUGUAAUUUUCUAGAACUUAGUGUAAUCAGCACAAAGUCAUUUACAAAUAGGAACUGGAGAGAAUUCCUUUUCUAUUUUCCUUGUGUGCAAGAUGUCCUAUAAAGCAGAGGUAAACACCUUGGGGAAGCAUACAUAUCCAUAUUUUAUGCCUAAUAAUCAGUGAACAAAGUUAUCUCUGCAUUUUCAUUGAUCAAGGAAUAUUGUGUGACAUUAACAUGUGCAUGUGAAGCUUCUUAUAGGAGAAGAGCUUUUAAAAUCACAUUUUCCUCUACCAAUUCAAACACUUUCUUUGGAAUAAGUAAAUAGUUAACAAACAAAACGUAAUCUUACACAUUACCAUUGCUCUUUCCCUGCCUUCCACUCCUACCCCAGGUAUUCUUUGAUCUAUUGGCACUGGUCUUCUUGGUAUUUUUCUCAAACUAGUAAUGCCAUGUUUUGGUGAUGGCCAUUUCCCCUAGGAGUCCCCCUUGCCUGGAAUGCUCUCCCUCUUCUGUCUCCUGGCUUCCCUAGCUCUCUUCAAGUCCCACCUUAAAUCUGUCCUCUACAGGAGGCCUUUCUUAAUUCCUUUUAAUUCUAGUGGCUUUCCUCUGUUGCUAAUUUCCUAUUUAUCCAGUUUAUAGCUUGUUCAUAUACAGUUUAUGCUCUCUCCCCUAGUAGAUUGUGAAAUGAGAGCCUUUCUGUGUGUUUAGUACAUAAUAGUCACUUAAUAAAUGCUUGCCAACUGACAUUUGUAUGACAGUAAGGAUAGUCUACUCUAAAGAAUAAUUUACAAAUGUAAUGGGCAUACACCUCAUUCUCACAUAGAAUCAGAAAGUAGGACUUAAAGGACUUGUGGGACUUAGACAUAGUUCCAUAUAUAUAUACAUAUAUAUAUAUAUAUAUAUUUUUAAAUCCUCAUUUUCUCUCUUAGAGUCAGUACUCAGUAUCAGUUCCAAAGCAGAAGAGUGAUAAAGGCUAAGCAAUUGGGAUUGAAUGACUUGUUCAGGGUCACACAACUAGGAAACAUUUGAGGCCACAUUUGAAUCCAGGACCUCCCAUCUUUAGACCUGAUGCUCUAUCCACUGAGCUGUCCCCCCUUUCAAUAUACUUUUCAAAGAGACCUAGGGAGAAAAGGGUUCUAGAAAGAUAGUUAAGAAAGUGACAAACGUAGAUUCUUGAAUGGCAAUUGGGAUUUUCAGAACUGGAGAUAGAAGAUAACUUCCCAACAUGGCUUUGCUUUCUAGCUUGCUUCACUUUCUUGAAGGCCUUUCUCUUCAUAUAUCUUUUUUUUUUUAAGUAUCUAGAACCACUUCCCAUAAUUCCCCUACCUAGCUAUCUUUGUAACACUCAGGAGUCAUAUCUCACGCUUAUCUGUCUACAUCCCCUCUCAAAAUCCUUUAUCUACAUGUUUCUUCAAAUUGUGUCUGGAAUCAACACUGAAAGUACUUUAGGGUACACGCAUAGCAUUGAGAUCAGCAUUCUACCCACAUAUCAGAAAUUACAUUUCCUUCUGCAUACUUGAAAACAUACACAUUGUCCCAAGCUUGGGUAGAAGCUGAGUUAUAUUCAUAUCUUCUUAGUGGAACACUAAGAGGACACAGGAGUGAACAAAAUCUACGUGGUUCCAAAGUUGAAAAGAACUCUGGUCACAGCAUGAUGUGGUAGAGCAAAUAUCGAAGUAGGAGUCCUUUGGGUGCUGGUUCUGUCACAAUCCUGACCCAGUUAUUAUCAAAUCAUAGCCUCUCUAGGAGUCUCCGCAUGUUCAUCUGUAAAACAUGCUUCUUUGUACUAAAAGAUCUUCAAGGGCCCAUUCAACAUUAUGAUUCCAAUAUUAAUGAAUCUCCCAAGCAAAAGCUUAGCCAUUAUCCUAUUGUAAACAUGAAUUUUAUAGGAGAUCAACCCCUGAGCUACAGGAAACAGUCAUAUGGCAUAAGGGUAUACUAAAACCAGUUUGAACUAACUUCCAAGAACCAAUUGUUAAAUUUUCAGUGUGAGCAUUUACACCAUGGAAACUGGCAAAACAUAUAAAUCAGGGCUUUAUUAUUUUGUUGAUUGUCUAAGUUUAAAGAAGUGAUGGAAAAUGUUAAUAAAGGAAUUAAAUUUUAAAGUGUAUUAUAUGUAUUUUUUCUUUUGGAGAUCCAGUUGCUAAACAUUUACCACCACACUGUUGGAUAUAAGUAAUUAGAGAUCCCUAGGACCAAACAUUAAGAAUUUCCAAAUUGGGGUCAGCUAAGUGGCUCAGUGGAUUGAGAGCCAAGCCUAGAGAAGGGAAGUUGAGGGUUCAAAUUUGACUUCAGACACUUCUUUAGUUGUGUAACCCAUUGCCUAAGCCUUACCACUCUUCUGCCUUGGAACCAAUUCAAUCAAUAUUGAUUCUAAGAUGAAAGGUAAGGAUUUUUUUAAAAUUCUGAAUUAUUUGAAACUAUGCAUUUGUGUGUGUGUGUGUGUGUGUGUGUGUGUGUGUGUGUGUGUGUGUGUGUGUGUGCAAGAGCAACAUAACUAUAGAAGCCCAGAAUCUCCAAUCUGGAAAAAACUUUGGAGGUUCAAUGCAUGCCCCUAAAUGAGGACCAUCUGGAACAUCUAACCUAUAUAUGAACAAGAGUUUCCUCUACACUAUCUCAGACAAGUGGGCAUCUAGCUUCUGCUAGAAGAUUUCUAGAAGAGAGAAACUCACUAACUCCAGAGACAGCCCAUUUUAUUUUCACAAAUCACUAGAUGUCAGGCUAUUUUGCCUUGUAUUGAGCUGAAAUCGACUGCUCUAUAACUCCAAGCUAGGGCUACUAGUUUUAUCCUGGGACAAAGCCAAACACAGCUAAUGCAUCUUCUUUGAAAAUGCUUUUCAAAUUCAUGAAAAUGCUGGUAUGGUUCCUCUAAGUCUUUUCUUCAUGAUAAGCAUUCUCAGUUCCUUUAAUAAUUCUUUCAUGGUGCACUCUUCAGUCCUCUCAUCAUCCCCUGCAUGUGUUCAAUGUCGGAAAUGCAUUUGAAAUACCCUUCCUAAAAUGAGGUGUCUAGAUCUGAAUAGAAAACUUUAGUCUACCAAGGCCAGAGCACAACAAUGCUAACAUCUCCUUUAUCAGGGAUCUCAAUGCAGUUUAAAGUUAUAACUGUUUUUGUUUUUGUUUUUUUGCCAUAACACUAUUGAUUAAAUUAAGUUUGCAGUCCACUGAAAUCCCUAGAUCUUUUCUUCCCCUCAUGUUAUAGGGCAUUUAGUGAUAAGCUGGAGCCUGAUCAAUAUUUUGAGGACACUCUCAUUUUUGCAUUUAUGAGCAUGGAGUUGGUGAUAUAUAAGCUGAAGAAGACUUUUGGAAGAUGUGAUAGCUCUCCCAAAAUAUCUGGAGGAUUGUCAUAUGAAAGAGAGAGUAGAUUUGUUCUACUUGUCCCUGGGACAUCAGAAAUAAAAUAAAUGGGGGCGGGAGGGUGAGGGGGGAGAUUUCAAAGAGGUUCAUUUCAGCACAAUAUGAGGGGAAAACAAGACAACAACAAAAAUCCGAGUAAGCUACUUAAACUUUUGGACCAAUGGCUGCCCAGAACUAUCUAACUGCCCAGUUCCCUAUCACAAGAAGUCUCUAUCUGGAGACCAGAUUUGGUGAUCCAUGGGGAAUAUCAUAGAGAGGAUUAGUAGAGAGUUUGGUGAGAGACCUCUGAAGUUUCUUCCCAAUCCUGGAAUUCUAUGACUGAAUAUGGAGGAAGAGCAAAACUUAAUUGGGGAUUUAUUUUAGCCCCUUAGCUCUAAUAUGAAUGCCUUCUCUUGGCUUGGUCCAGAGGCUCAGGUGCGCUUGGCUUCAGUAAGAGUUCUAAAAUACUCCCUCUCUUUGAUAUGUGCAUACAUUCUAAUUAAUCUUCAUUAAGCUGGGCCUUUAAACAGAUGCUUAUAUUAGGGGCCUUUCCUGUUCAGGUCUGGUCCAGCUAAGUUCUCAGCUCAUUCUACAAGACCCAAGGGUCUUAUCAUGCUGAAGGCUGUUCAACAUUUGACUAGGAAAUCAUCAUAAAAUCUUCCAACUCAAUGCUCCUUCACUGAUUUGGCAGCUGUUACCAGUUGAAAUGGUAAUUGAAGCUGGUCAUGAGUCUGGCACUGACAGGCCUUUCCAAAGAGGUGAUUGGCUCAGAGCAGAUUGAGGGGGAGGGACAUUAUGAAGCGAACCUUGGUGAGCCUCUCAGGUCCUUCACAGAUUUUCUCUGGUCCAGUGGCCCUUCUUCACAUGCACAUUCCUAGAGUGAGACUUUCUCUUUUUGCCAGCAAAUAAUGGAAAUGCUCUCUUCUCUGUAGGAAGAUGAUGUUACUGACCCAUCCUCAGAAGGGCAAACCCUCUGAAUUAUUCCGCCCCAAAAAACCAGAGAAUCCAAGUUGGAAGGAAUCUUAGAUGAACCCUUGCCGUGGUGCUGAAUCUUUUAAUAAUAUAAGUGCACAAGGCUCUAGCCUCUGAAUAUUUUCAAGGAUGAGGAACUCUAUUUCAUGAAACAGACUGUCCUGAGUACGAGGGAAAAGAGACAUUGCCCAUUUCAGUAGCAGGGAUGGGUUUCCACUGGGCCAGCCACACUUGCUCAUUCAGCUUCCCUCAUGACCAAAAGCAUAUACUUCUAGGCCAUGUGGCCAGGGCUCAGGCCAGGGCUCAGCGGGGGAAAUAGUCGGGCUGGGCAGACACCAUGAUGGUGAGUCAGAGCCAGCCCCUGCCCCUACUGAGCCCUGGCAGGGGGAAAGCUUUUCGGAGAGCCAAGCUUGAAUAGCUCCAUGUGGAGAUCAACUUCAUACGAAUGACUUCAUGCUUGGGCUUGACAGGAUUGUCCAAUAAACUGCAUUUGCCCUCUGCAGCCAAUGGUGCACUGGGGGAGCCAGGGAGCUACUUACUUAGGUUUUAGAAAUUUCACUUACCUGGGAAAUCAGAGAGGGCCGAUAUCAUCACAUACUGCCAUGGGGACUUUUGAGAUUCUAUAUUCCUAAUCUGGACCCCGGAUAAGGAGACCUUCCUUGAUCUUCUAUCAUUGGGCGACAGUUUGUCAUCUUAAGGUACUAUCUGGCUGUGACUUCUUUUGCUUCUAGAUGAAGGCAUGGAACUCCCAAAUUCUGUAAACUUGG